UACGGGGGGGGCAAGCGUUGUUCGGAAUUACUGGGCGUAAAGGGCUCGUAGGCGGCCAACUAAGUCAGACGUGAAAUCCCCAGGCUCAACCUGGGAACUGCGUCCGAUACUGGCAGGCUUGAAUCCGGGAGAGGGAUGUGGAAUUCCAGGUGUAGCGGUGAAAUGCGUAGAUAUCAGGAGGAACACCGGUGGCGAAGGCGGCUCUCUGGACAAAUACCGACGCUGAGGCACGAAAGCUAGGGGAGCAAACAGG
This 253-nucleotide ribosomal RNA is filed under the name uncultured bacterium. Its description in RNAcentral is "partial 16S ribosomal RNA". It matches the Rfam family "Bacterial small subunit ribosomal RNA", at positions 524 to 776 of the family's 1533-position model. The record is from RNAcentral.